Molecule: ribosomal RNA, 1339 nt
Filed under: Vibrio alginolyticus
Lineage: Bacteria; Pseudomonadati; Pseudomonadota; Gammaproteobacteria; Vibrionales; Vibrionaceae
Description: bacterial SSU rRNA
Rfam family: Bacterial small subunit ribosomal RNA
Source: RNAcentral
GUCGAGCGGCGGACGGGUGAGUAAUGCCUAGGAAAUUGCCCUGAUGUGGGGGAUAACCAUUGGAAACGAUGGCUAAUACCGCAUGAUGCCUACGGGCCAAAGAGGGGGACCUUCGGGCCUCUCGCGUCAGGAUAUGCCUAGGUGGGAUUAGCUAGUUGGUGAGGUAAGGGCUCACCAAGGCGACGAUCCCUAGCUGGUCUGAGAGGAUGAUCAGCCACACUGGAACUGAGACACGGUCCAGACUCCUACGGGAGGCAGCAGUGGGGAAUAUUGCACAAUGGGCGCAAGCCUGAUGCAGCCAUGCCGCGUGUGUGAAGAAGGCCUUCGGGUUGUAAAGCACUUUCAGUCGUGAGGAAGGUAGUGUAGUUAAUAGCUGCAUUAUUUGACGUUAGCGACAGAAGAAGCACCGGCUAACUCCGUGCCAGCAGCCGCGGUAAUACGGAGGGUGCGAGCGUUAAUCGGAAUUACUGGGCGUAAAGCGCAUGCAGGUGGUUUGUUAAGUCAGAUGUGAAAGCCCGGGGCUCAACCUCGGAAUAGCAUUUGAAACUGGCAGACUAGAGUACUGUAGAGGGGGGUAGAAUUUCAGGUGUAGCGGUGAAAUGCGUAGAGAUCUGAAGGAAUACCGGUGGCGAAGGCGGCCCCCUGGACAGAUACUGACACUCAGAUGCGAAAGCGUGGGGAGCAAACAGGAUUAGAUACCCUGGUAGUCCACGCCGUAAACGAUGUCUACUUGGAGGUUGUGGCCUUGAGCCGUGGCUUUCGGAGCUAACGCGUUAAGUAGACCGCCUGGGGAGUACGGUCGCAAGAUUAAAACUCAAAUGAAUUGACGGGGGCCCGCACAAGCGGUGGAGCAUGUGGUUUAAUUCGAUGCAACGCGAAGAACCUUACCUACUCUUGACAUCCAGAGAACUUUCCAGAGAUGGAUUGGUGCCUUCGGGAACUCUGAGACAGGUGCUGCAUGGCUGUCGUCAGCUCGUGUUGUGAAAUGUUGGGUUAAGUCCCGCAACGAGCGCAACCCUUAUCCUUGUUUGCCAGCGAGUAAUGUCGGGAACUCCAGGGAGACUGCCGGUGAUAAACCGGAGGAAGGUGGGGACGACGUCAAGUCAUCAUGGCCCUUACGAGUAGGGCUACACACGUGCUACAAUGGCGCAUACAGAGGGCGGCCAACUUGCGAAAGUGAGCGAAUCCCAAAAAGUGCGUCGUAGUCCGGAUUGGAGUCUGCAACUCGACUCCAUGAAGUCGGAAUCGCUAGUAAUCGUGGAUCAGAAUGCCACGGUGAAUACGUUCCCGGGCCUUGUACACACCGCCCGUCACACCAUGGGAGUGGGCUGCAAAAGAA